RNAcentral lists this ribosomal RNA (589 nucleotides) under Rhodotorula taiwanensis. Its description in RNAcentral is "partial large subunit ribosomal RNA". It matches the Rfam family "Eukaryotic large subunit ribosomal RNA", at positions 52 to 656 of the family's 3401-position model. The record is from RNAcentral. Lineage: Eukaryota; Fungi; Basidiomycota; Microbotryomycetes; Sporidiobolales; Sporidiobolaceae.
GGAGGAAAAGAAACUAACAAGGAUUCCCCUAGUAGCGGCGAGCGAAGCGGGAAGAGCUCAAAUUUAUAAUCUGGCACCUUCGGUGUCCGAGUUGUAAUCUCUAGAAGUGUUUUCCGCGUUGGACCGCACACAAGUCUGUUGGAAUACAGCGGCAUAGUGGUGAGACCCCCGUAUAUGGUGCGGACGCCCAACGCUUUGUGAUACACUUUCGAAGAGUCGAGUUGUUUGGGAAUGCAGCUCAAAUUGGGUGGUAAAUUCCAUCUAAAGCUAAAUAUUGGCGAGAGACCGAUAGCGAACAAGUACCGUGAGGGAAAGAUGAAAAGCACUUUGGAAAGAGAGUUAACAGUACGUGAAAUUGUUGGAAGGGAAACGCUUGAAGUCAGACUUGCUUGCCGAGCAAUCGGUUUGCAGGCCAGCAUCAGUUUUCCGGGGUGGAUAAUGGUAGAGAGAAGGUAGCAGUUUCGGCUGUGUUAUAGCUCUUUGCUGGAUACACCUUGGGGGACUGAGGAACGCAGUGUGCCUUACGGCGGAUUUCUCGAGAUCUUCACACUUAGGAUGCUGGUGGAAUGGCUUUAAACGACCCGUCUUG